GACGAACGCUGGCGGCGUGCUUAACACAUGCAAGUCGAACGGAAAGGCCCUGCUUUUGUGGGGUGCUCGAGUGGCGAACGGGUGAGUAACACGUGAGUAACCUGCCCUUGACUUUGGGAUAACUUCAGGAAACUGGGGCUAAUACCGGAUAGGAGCUCCUGCUGCAUGGUGGGGGUUGGAAAUUUUCGGCGGUUGGGGAUGGACUCGCGGCUUAUCAGCUUGUUGGUGGGGUAGUGGCUUACCAAGGCUUUGACGGGUAGCCGGCCUGAGAGGGUGACCGGCCACAUUGGGACUGAGAUACGGCCCAGACUCCUACGGGAGGCAGCAGUGGGGAAUAUUGCACAAUGGGCGGAAGCCUGAUGCAGCAACGCCGCGUGCGGGAUGACGGCCAUCGGGUUGUAAACCGCUUUCGCCUGUGACGAAGCGUGAGUGACGGUAAUGGGUAAAGAAGCACCGGCUAACUACGUG
RNAcentral lists this ribosomal RNA (468 nucleotides) under uncultured bacterium. Its description in RNAcentral is "partial 16S ribosomal RNA". It matches the Rfam family "Bacterial small subunit ribosomal RNA", at positions 28 to 507 of the family's 1533-position model. The record is from RNAcentral.